AGAUUUUACUGACUGACUCUAGAGUUAGUACUGGAAAAAUCAGCUGCUGGCCUUCGUUGCUGGCCAUCAUACUCAAAUCCAGAAUGAUACUGUUGGGGUUGAUGUAACAACGUGCACUGCUCUUCAGGAGGACUCUGGACACCCUGUCCCCCUGGCAGGGCAGUCCCCACCCUUUUCUUCUUUGAAGUUAUUGCCUUCUUAAUCAGGUGCAUUGAUGUGUUAAGUAAGAGCAGUUGGAGUCAUAAGCUAAGAAAGAAGGCAGGGGCAUGAUUUAUUUUGAACUGGAAAGCUGAAACACAUCCCUUCUCAAAUCACUCCCUGUUUUCCUGUAAAGUUGCCCGAGGCCCUGGGCAGACUCUCAGAAGGUUACUCAACUCAACCCCAACAAAGCCAAGCAACCAAUGCUGAGGAUGGCAUGAAGCUGGCGGCGGCAGGUGGGCUGCUUAGAGCUGCAGAUGUGAUUUCCACUAAUAAAUCAGCUUCUAAUACUGAUA
Molecule: long non-coding RNA, 494 nt
Organism: Mus musculus (house mouse)
Lineage: Eukaryota; Metazoa; Chordata; Mammalia; Rodentia; Muridae
Product: predicted gene, 30957
Exons: 3
Source: RefSeq, marked validated